CCCUGCCAUUUGUACACACCGCCCGUCGCACCUACCGAUUGAAUGGUUCGGUGAAAAUUUCGGACUGUGAUUUUAUUGCUUUCGGGCAAUUUUAUUAUAGAAAGUUAUUUAAACCUCAUCAUUUAGAGGAAGGU
Molecule: ribosomal RNA, 134 nt
Filed under: uncultured eukaryote
Lineage: Eukaryota
Description: partial small subunit ribosomal RNA
Rfam family: Eukaryotic small subunit ribosomal RNA
Source: RNAcentral